Molecule: ribosomal RNA, 504 nt
Filed under: uncultured bacterium
Lineage: Bacteria
Description: partial 16S ribosomal RNA
Rfam family: Bacterial small subunit ribosomal RNA
Source: RNAcentral
GACGAACGCUGGCGGCGUGCUUAACACAUGCAAGUCGAACGGUGAAGCGCUUGCCUUUUUGGUGGGUGUGGAUGAGUGGCGAACGGGUGAGUAACACGUGAGUAACCUGCCCUCUUCUUCUGGAUAACCUCAUGAAAGUGGGGCUAAUACGGGGUAUUCCGGGUCUGUCGCAUGGCGGGUUUGGGAAAGAUUGCGCCUUUGGGUGUUUUCGGUGGGGGAUGGGCUCGCGGCCUAUCAGCUUGUUGGUGGGGUGAUGGCCUACCAAGGCGGUGACGGGUAGCCGGCCUGAGAGGGUGGACGGCCACACUGGGACUGAGACACGGCCCAGACUCCUGCGGGAGGCAGCAGUGGGGAAUAUUGCACAAUGGGCGCAAGCCGGAUGCAGCGACGCCGCGUGAGGGAUGGAGGCCUUCGGGUUGUGAACCUCUUUCGCCAGGGAAGCAGGCCUGCUCCUGUGUGGGUGGGUUGACGGUAGCUGGAUAAGAAGCGCCGGCUAACUACGUG